AUGGGUGGUUAUAGCAAUGUGGAUCCACCUCUUCCCAUUCCGAACAGAGAAGUUAAACACAUUAGCGCUGAUGGUACUGGUUUUUCCGGGAGAGUAAGUCUCCGCCCAUUUUUUUUAUUUUAUAUUAUAUAUUCGU
RNAcentral lists this ribosomal RNA (136 nucleotides) under Blattabacterium sp. (Cryptocercus punctulatus) str. Cpu. Lineage: Bacteria; Pseudomonadati; Bacteroidota; Flavobacteriia; Flavobacteriales; Blattabacteriaceae. The record is from RNAcentral.